Long non-coding RNA from Mus caroli (Ryukyu mouse), 277 nucleotides. RefSeq lists it as uncharacterized. The record is from RefSeq and is a predicted model, not a curated record. Lineage: Eukaryota; Metazoa; Chordata; Mammalia; Rodentia; Muridae.
CUGACGAAGGCCCCUCUGAGGGUACCAGACAGAAACACUGCAAGGGUCAUAUAAGUUGGUACAGCAAAUCCUUUUCAAGAGUCUAUUUAUAGAAACUUCGCUUUGAAUCUGAAGCAGCCUCUUAUGUUGAAUGCAGAGGAAACAUCAAGAAAAUUGAGCACGUGAAUGAAGAAUCACAGAAGAACACUAGAGGACCUGGUGAGAUGGCUCGGAAGGUAAAAUAUUUUGAAAGAAAUUAACAAAACAUUGGGAAGCUUAAAUGAUACCUGACUAGAUC